RNAcentral lists this ribosomal RNA (1400 nucleotides) under Pedobacter sp. 90. RNAcentral describes it as "bacterial SSU rRNA". It matches the Rfam family "Bacterial small subunit ribosomal RNA". The record is from RNAcentral. Lineage: Bacteria; Pseudomonadati; Bacteroidota; Sphingobacteriia; Sphingobacteriales; Sphingobacteriaceae.
AUACAUGCAAGUCGAACGAGAUUAUCCAGCUUGCUGGAUAUGAAAGUGGCGCACGGGUGCGUAACGCGUAUGCAACCUACCUUAAUCAGGGGGAUAGCCCGGAGAAAUCCGGAUUAACACCGCAUAAAAACACAGGAUAGCAUUAUCCAAUGUUCAAAUAUUAAUAGGAUUGAGAUGGGCAUGCGUGUCAUUAGCUAGUUGGCGGGGUAACGGCCCACCAAGGCGACGAUGACUAGGGGAUCUGAGAGGAUGACCCCCCACACUGGUACUGAGACACGGACCAGACUCCUACGGGAGGCAGCAGUAAGGAAUAUUGGUCAAUGGAGGCAACUCUGAACCAGCCAUGCCGCGUGCAGGAAGACUGCCCUAUGGGUUGUAAACUGCUUUUAUCCGGGAAUAAACCUCAAUACGUGUAUUGAGCUGAAUGUACCGGAAGAAUAAGGAUCGGCUAACUCCGUGCCAGCAGCCGCGGUAAUACGGAGGAUCCAAGCGUUAUCCGGAUUUAUUGGGUUUAAAGGGUGCGUAGGCGGCCUGUUAAGUCAGGGGUGAAAGACGGUAGCUCAACUAUCGCAGUGCCCUUGAUACUGAUGGGCUUGAAUGGACUAGAGGUAGGCGGAAUGAGACAAGUAGCGGUGAAAUGCAUAGAUAUGUCUCAGAACACCGAUUGCGAAGGCAGCUUACUAUGGUUUAAUUGACGCUGAGGCACGAAAGCGUGGGGAUCAAACAGGAUUAGAUACCCUGGUAGUCCACGCCCUAAACGAUGAACACUCGCUGUUGGCGAUACACAGUCAGCGGCUAAGCGAAAGCGUUAAGUGUUCCACCUGGGGAGUACGGUCGCAAGAUUGAAACUCAAAGGAAUUGACGGGGGCCCGCACAAGCGGAGGAGCAUGUGGUUUAAUUCGAUGAUACGCGAGGAACCUUACCCGGGCUUGAAAGUUAGUGAAUGAUUUAGAGAUAGAUCAGUCCGCAAGGACACGAAACUAGGUGCUGCAUGGCUGUCGUCAGCUCGUGCCGUGAGGUGUUGGGUUAAGUCCCGCAACGAGCGCAACCCCUAUGUUUAGUUGCCAGCAUGUAAUGGUGGGGACUCUAAACAGACUGCCUGUGCAAACAGAGAGGAAGGAGGGGACGACGUCAAGUCAUCAUGGCCCUUACGUCCGGGGCUACACACGUGCUACAAUGGAUGGUACAGAGGGCAGCUACAUAGCAAUAUGAUGCGAAUCUCACAAAGCCAUUCACAGUUCGGAUUGGGGUCUGCAACUCGACCCCAUGAAGUUGGAUUCGCUAGUAAUCGCGUAUCAGCAAUGACGCGGUGAAUACGUUCCCGGGCCUUGUACACACCGCCCGUCAAGCCAUGGAAGUUGGGGGUACCUAAAGUAUGUAACCGCAAGGAGCUUCCUAGG